AUGAAUUUUCCCGCCCUUAUCGUUGAGAAACUCCAAUAAACAUCUGAGUAAAUGCCAGGACUUUCUGACAACCAGCGACAUGCAGUUUUGGACAUGAUCCAAUGAAGCCUUUUAACAGCAUACAAUUACUAGAAGACUGAAGUUGUAGCCUCUACAAUAACCCAAAUCAUCCACAAAUUCAACCAAAUUGGAUCAUUUAAUGAUAAGCCACAUCCC
This 216-nucleotide long non-coding RNA is filed under the name Mytilus galloprovincialis (Mediterranean mussel). Lineage: Eukaryota; Metazoa; Mollusca; Bivalvia; Mytilida; Mytilidae. The record is from RNAcentral.